Molecule: ribosomal RNA, 498 nt
Filed under: uncultured bacterium
Lineage: Bacteria
Description: partial 16S ribosomal RNA
Rfam family: Bacterial small subunit ribosomal RNA
Source: RNAcentral
AUUGAACGCUGGCGGCACGCCUUACACAUGCAAGUCGAACGGUAACAGGUCUUCGGAUGCUGACGAGUGGCGAACGGGUGAGUAAUACAUCGGAACGUGCCUAGUAGUGGGGGAUAACUACUCGAAAGAGUGGCUAAUACCGCAUGAGAUCUACGGAUGAAAGCAGGGGAUCGCAAGACCUUGUGCUACUAGAGCGGCCGAUGGCAGAUUAGGUAGUUGGUGGGAUAAAAGCUUACCAAGCCGACGAUCUGUAGCUGGUCUGAGAGGACGAUCAGGCAAACUGGGAGUGAGAACAGGCCCCGACUCCUUCGGGGAGCAAGAGUGGGGAAUUUUGGACAAAGGGGGAAAGCCUGAACCAGCAAUGCCGCGUGCAGGAUGAAGGCCUUCGGGUUGUAAACUGCUUUUGUACGGAACGAAAAGCCCCGGGUUAAUACCCUGGGGUCAUGACGGUACCGUAAGAAUAAGCACCGGCUAACUACGUGCCAGCCGCCGCGGUAA